RNAcentral lists this ribosomal RNA (450 nucleotides) under uncultured bacterium. Its description in RNAcentral is "partial 16S ribosomal RNA". It matches the Rfam family "Bacterial small subunit ribosomal RNA", at positions 354 to 796 of the family's 1533-position model. The record is from RNAcentral.
GUGGGGAAUUUUGGACAAUGGGCGAAAGCCUGAUCCAGCAAUGCCGCGUGCAGGAUGAAGGCCCUCGGGUUGUAAACUGCUUUUGUACGGAACGAAAAGCUCUGGGCUAAUACCCUGGAGUCAUGACGGUACCGUAAGAAUAAGCACCGGCUAACUACGUGCCAGCAGCCGCGGUAAUACGUAGGGUGCAAGCGUUAAUCGGAAUUACUGGGCGUAAAGCGUGCGCAGGCGGUUUUGUAAGACAGUGGUGAAAUCCCCGGGCUCAACCUGGGAACUGCCAUUGUGACUGCAAAGCUAGAGUGCGGCAGAGGGGGAUGGAAUUCCGCGUGUAGCAGUGAAAUGCGUAGAUAUGCGGAGGAACACCGAUGGCGAAGGCAAUCCCCUGGGCCUGCACUGACGCUCAUGCACGAAAGCGUGGGGAGCAAACAGGAUUAGAUACCCUGGUAGUCC